ACGGGAGGCAGCAGUGGGGAAUCUUGCGCAAUGGGCGAAAGCCUGACGCAGCAACGCCGCGUGCGGGAUGAAGGCCUUCGGGUUGUAAACCGCUUUCAGUGGGGACGAAAACAGACGGUACCCACAGAAGAAGCCCCGGCCAACUACGUGCCAGCAGCCGCGGUAACACGUAGGGGGCGAGCGUUGUCCGGAAUCAUUGGGCGUAAAGAGCUCGUAGGCGGCUCAAUAAGUCGGGUGUGAAACCCCCAGGCUCAACCUGGGGACGCCACCCGAUACUGUUGUGGCUAGAGUCCAGUAGGGGAGUGUGGAAUUCCCGGUGUAGCGGUGAAAUGCGCAGAUAUCGGGAGGAACACCAGCGGCGAAGGCGGCACUCUGGGCUGGUACUGACGCUGAGGAGCGAAAGCGUGGGUAGCAAACAGGAUUAGAUACCCUGGUA
RNAcentral lists this ribosomal RNA (436 nucleotides) under uncultured Acidimicrobiales bacterium. RNAcentral's name for it is "bacterial SSU rRNA". It matches the Rfam family "Bacterial small subunit ribosomal RNA", at positions 341 to 792 of the family's 1533-position model. The record is from RNAcentral. Lineage: Bacteria; Bacillati; Actinomycetota; Acidimicrobiia; Acidimicrobiales.